CAAAAACAUAACCUUUAGCCCGACAAGUAUUAAAGGCAAUGCCUGCCCAGUGAACAAUUAAACGGCCGCGGUACCCUAACCGUGCAAAGGUAGCGUAAUCAUUUGUCUACUAAUUAUAGACCUGUAUGAAAGGCAAAAUGAGGGCCCAACUGUCUCUUAUAAUCAAUCAAUUAAACUGAUCUCCUAGUAAAAAAGCUAGAAUUCACACAUAAGACCAGAAGACCCUGUGAAGCUUAAACUAAACUAUUAAACCUUAUAAUAACUACUUUCGGUUGGGGCGACCUUGGAAAAAAAAAGAACUUCCACACACCAAUGACUACUCAUACCCAAUAGGCCCACUAGCCACUAACUGACCCAGCAAAGCUGACAAAUGAACCAAGUUACUCCAGGGAUAACAGCGCAAUCUUCUUCAAGAGCCCAUAUCAAAAAGAAGGUUUACGACCUCGAUGUUGGAUCAGGACAUCCUAAUGGUGCAGCCGCUAUUAAGGGUUCGUUUGUUCAACGAUUAACAGUCCUACGUGAUCUG
Molecule: ribosomal RNA, 526 nt
Filed under: Dendrophidion percarinatum (South American forest races)
Lineage: Eukaryota; Metazoa; Chordata; Lepidosauria; Squamata; Colubridae
Description: partial 16S ribosomal RNA
Rfam family: Bacterial large subunit ribosomal RNA
Source: RNAcentral